RNAcentral lists this ribosomal RNA (464 nucleotides) under Vreelandella stevensii. RNAcentral describes it as "partial 16S ribosomal RNA". It matches the Rfam family "Bacterial small subunit ribosomal RNA", at positions 339 to 795 of the family's 1533-position model. Lineage: Bacteria; Pseudomonadati; Pseudomonadota; Gammaproteobacteria; Oceanospirillales; Halomonadaceae. The record is from RNAcentral.
CCACGGGGGGCAGCAGUGGGGAAUAUUGGACAAUGGGGGGAACCCUGAUCCAGCCAUGCCGCGUGUGUGAAGAAGGCCCUCGGGUUGUAAAGCACUUUCAGUGAGGAAGAACGCCUGGUGGUUAAUACCCAUCAGGAAAGACAUCACUCACAGAAGAAGCACCGGCUAACUCCGUGCCAGCAGCCGCGGUAAUACGGAGGGUGCGAGCGUUAAUCGGAAUUACUGGGCGUAAAGCGCGCGUAGGUGGCUUGAUAAGCCGGUUGUGAAAGCCCCGGGCUCAACCUGGGAACGGCAUCCGGAACUGUCAAGCUAGAGUGCAGGAGAGGAAGGUAGAAUUCCCGGUGUAGCGGUGAAAUGCGUAGAGAUCGGGAGGAAUACCAGUGGCGAAGGCGGCCUUCUGGACUGACACUGACACUGAGGUGCGAAAGCGUGGGUAGCAAACAGGAUUAGAUACCCGUGUAGUC